RNAcentral lists this ribosomal RNA (273 nucleotides) under uncultured bacterium. Its description in RNAcentral is "partial 16S ribosomal RNA". It matches the Rfam family "Bacterial small subunit ribosomal RNA", at positions 524 to 796 of the family's 1533-position model. The record is from RNAcentral.
UACGUAGGUGGCAAGCGUUGUCCGGAUUUAUUGGGUUUAAAGGGUGCGUAGGCGGCCUAUUAAGUCAGUGCUGAAAUAUCACGGCUCAACCGUGAGGGUGGCAUUGAUACUGAUGGGCUUGAGUGAAGUCGAGGUAGGCGGAAUUGACGGUGUAGCGGUGAAAUGCUUAGAUAUCGUCAAGAACACCGAUAGUGAAGACAGCUUACUAGGCUUAAACUGACGCUGAGGCACGAAAGUGUGGGGAUCAAACAGGAUUAGAAACCCCUGUAGUCC